UUAGAUUUGAAGAUGAAGAUUGAAGCCUUGUUGAAGUUUUGUUAGAUGACUAGAAGUCUAGAUCUGGCCAUGAAGUUUUGUAAAGUGAUGGAGAAUUAAUUUUUUAUCAGGUCGAGAGUGAGAGAGGUUUAGAUUUGAGAAGAUUUGAGAGAUUUGAGAGAGAGGUUUAGAUUUGAGGGCUGGGGGGGCGGCUGGAUGCAAGGGAAUGCUAGGGUUAAAAGUUUAGAUUUGAGAAGA
This 237-nucleotide long non-coding RNA is filed under the name Populus trichocarpa (black cottonwood). RNAcentral describes it as "long non-coding RNA (PTRI_LNC004670)". Lineage: Eukaryota; Viridiplantae; Streptophyta; Magnoliopsida; Malpighiales; Salicaceae. The record is from RNAcentral.